This 69-nucleotide transfer RNA is filed under the name Melanomys caliginosus (dusky rice rat). RNAcentral's name for it is "tRNA-His". It matches the Rfam family "tRNA". Rfam says of the family: Transfer RNA (tRNA) molecules are approximately 80 nucleotides in length. Lineage: Eukaryota; Metazoa; Chordata; Mammalia; Rodentia; Cricetidae. The record is from RNAcentral.
GUAAACAUAGUUUAUAUAAAAACUUUAGACUGUGAAUCUAACAAUAAGAGCUCCACCUCUUUGUUUACC